UAUAUGGGACGACUCCAAUCCUAUUCAAAACUUUUUACUUCCAAACAAUUUCUUCCUUAUCGAUUGCUUCGUUCAGCCAGAAUCUUGUUCGACUGUAUCCAAAACAAUCAAAUUCAACGUAUUUCUCCUUUUUGAUUAAUCCAUUUAGAUUUUAAUACUUUGUUCCCCUUUUCACUGAUCUAGGUUUUUUUCCGAGCGGUGAAUUGAAUCUAGAAUCAAGAUGUACAACGGAAUAGGGUUACAAACUGCAAGAGGUUCUGGAACAAAUGGAUAUGUUCAAACCAAUAAAUUUUUGGUUAGAACGAAAACAUCAAGAGUCGCUGUUGAUGGAAACAAAGGGUAUGGGCCUGAUCAAGGUAUGGGUGGUAUCAGCAAAAAGGCCAAUAAGGAGAUUUUGGAACACGAUCGCAAGCGUCAAAUUGAGCUAAAGCUUGUGAUUUUGGAGGAUAAGCUAAGCGAACAAGGGUAUACUGAUGCUGAGAUUGCUGAAAAGUGUGACGAGUUGAGGCAAAAACUUGAGAGCGAGGCGGCUGCUGCUACGGAUCAUGAUAGUGUUCGUGCUGUUACGAAUACGAAGGCAUCAGAUACAGAAACUCACCAAAUCGCAGCUAGGAAGGAGAAGAAAAUGGAGCAAUUGAGACUUGCUCUUGGGAUUGUUGAACACAAUGGCGAUGCAAUGGGCAAAGUGAAUGACCUAGAUAUUGACAACGGUGAUGACAGCAGUGACAGAGAAGAAGGUGAAAUUUUGCAUGGUGAUGGGAAUGUUAAAACAGAGAAGAUGUACCAAGUUGAAGAGAGAACCAAGGGUCGUGAAGUAAAAUCAAAAAAGGAAGAGAAACGAAGAAGACAUGGAAGUGAGUCUUCGGAGAAUAGUGAUGGGAGUGAUUCAGGAACUGAUUCUGAUCGAGAAACGAAGAAAGAGCAAAAAACUAGCAGGUUGUUGAAGAAAAAUGUCUCUGAUUACGAAUCUGACACUGAUAGCAGCAAGUCUUAUAGCAGCGGUCAAAAGAAUAUAGGCAGACGCUCUAAAGUGUCGAAAAGGCAUGAUUCGGGCCGUGAUCAUAGCAAAGGAUCACCUGAAAAUAGAACCAUAAAAUCAAAGCAGCUUUCUACUAGAAGUAGGCAUGGCUUUAACAGUGAGCAUGAUACCUACGGAAAAAGCUCUGAUAAGUCUGGUCGAGGUACAAAGUCUGUGGUGUUAGAACCAGAGAGAAGUCAAAGAAGUAGGAGGUAUGAUACUGAUGAGGAUGCUGAUUCUGACCAUGAAGGAAGAAAGGAGAACAGUCGUAGAAGAACUAGGCAUGGGUCUGAAGAUGAUGAUUCUGAUGUUGAUGUGAAACAAAAUGAACUUGUGAAAAAUAAAGAGAAACAAUCAAAUUAUCUGAAGAGCAAAACAGACUUGAAGAUGAGAGAACGUAGGAGAUAUGAUACUGUUGAGGAUGAAGAUUCUGAUCAUGAAGGAAAAAGGGAGAAGAGUCGUAGAAGGGCUAGGCAUGAUUCUGAAGAUGAUAAUUCUGAUGUUGAAGCUAAACGAAACGAACUUGUGAAACAAAAAGAGAAGCAAUCAAGGUAUCCUAAGAGUGCAGCAGAUGUGAAGACGAGAGGAAGUAGGAGGUAUAAUACUGAUGAGGAUGCUGAUUCUGAUCAUGAAAGAAAAAGGGAGAAAAGGGCUAGGCAUGAUUCUGAAGAUGAUGAUUCUGAUGUUGAAGCAAAACAAAUUAAACUUGUGAAAGAAAAAAAGCAAUCAAGGUAUCUGAGGAGCGAAGCAGACCUAAAGAUGAGUAGACGUAGAAGGUAUGAUACUGAUGAAGAUGCUGAUUCUGACUAUGAAAGAAAAGGAGAGAAAGGUCGUAGGAGGGCUAGGCAUGAGUCUGAAGAUGAUGAUUCUGAUGUUAAGGCGGAAAAAAAUGAUCUUGUGAAAGAAAAAGAAAAGCAAUCAAGGUAUCCUAGGAGCACAGCAGAUGUGAGGAUGAGAGGAAGUAGGAGGUAUGAUACUGAUGAGGAUGAGGAUGAGGAUUCUGAUCAUGAAAGAAAAAGGGAGAAGAAUCGUAAAAGGACUAGGCAUGAUUCUGGUGAUGAUGAUUCUGAUGUUGAAGCGAAACAAAAUGAACUUGUGAAAGAUAGAGAGAAGCAAUCGCGGUAUCUGAAGAGCAAAGCAGACUUAAAUAUGAGAGGAAACGAUAAGGAGUAUGACAGUUAUAACAAAUAUGGUGAUGACUGGAAAAUACAUACUAGGAAUGAAGCUGGACAAAGUCAUACAAAGCGUGAGAAACCAGAGGAAGUUGAUGGAACUAGGAGACAUGAAAGGAGAGAAGAUGUAAAUGUGAGGAGGCAUGAAAAUAGGGAGGACAGCUUGCAAGGAAGCAGAAAGCAGGAAAGGAAGGAAAAUAUUGAUCAAGAAAGGAGGAAAGCGGGAAAGGACCUAGAGGACUAUGAUGAGAGAAAGAUGGAGAAGAAGGAAAAAGAAAUGCAUGAAAGAAGAGGACGGGAAAGAAAGGAUGAGGAUGAGUUAAGAAAGAGAAAGAUGGAAAGGAGAUCAGAUGGUGAUGAGCAAAGGAAAAGGCUAGAAGAUAGGGAGGAGGAGGAUUAUAGAAGUAAAAGGCGUGAAAGAAGGGAGGAGAGUGAGCAGGGAGUAAGAAAGAGAGAAAGUAGGGAAGAUGAUGGGAAGCAAGGAAGGAAUUGGGAGAAGAGAGAUGAAGACGAGUAUUUUAGCCGAAAACGAGGGAGAGGCGGGGAAGAGCUGGAAGUAAGCAAGUCGGAAAGGCGGGAAGAAGAGGGUAGGGAAGGUAAAUAUAGGGAUAGAACAGAGCGAGAGGGAAAAAGUACAACUGACAGAAAGGAUCCAGAGAAGCAUGAACGUAAAGUUAGGGAGAGGUUUGAGGAAGAAGAUAGUAAAAGGAGAAGGCAUGACAAAGAAGAUUCACCCAGGAGGCAUGAGAAAAGCCGAUCUGAUGAUGUUCGUUGGCGACGUUAAUGAUAUGGGAGUUGUGAGGCCGUGAUCUUAGGUAUAGCAAUGUGUGUGUUGAUCAAGCCAAAGUAAGGGGGCAGUUGGACAAGCUAGGUAGGUCAAAUGUCGAUGUUCAACUGAUGCCUUGACACUGAUUGUACUUCUUCUCCGACAAAUUUGGCUUCUUUUCGUGGUUGUAACUCCAGCCUUUCAGGCUAUAUGUAAAUGUUACCUGCUUUAGUGCUUUUGUAAUGCUUAUUGUGAGCUCGGGUUGUUUGUACUGAGACAUUGACUGGUCCGGUUUUUCCUACAAAUAUGCAUUUUAUCUAGAAUGUUAGUGUUCAUUUACUUACGUGUAACCAAAAUUUUGGCUUUCCUUAUUAUGGAGUGAGUUGUUCAGAAACUUUGAUCUGAAUCAACGUUAUAAGGUGUUUCUGUAGCCGCUGUUUUGCAAAUAUCACUUGUCAAGUGCAAAUGGCAAUAUCUCAACAUAAACAAUGAAUGAAGCCUACAAAAGUUUGAUGUACCAAUGUAUUGUGAUAUGUGAUGCUCAUUUAGAUUCCCA
RNA transcript from Amaranthus tricolor (Joseph's coat), 3512 nucleotides. RefSeq lists it as uncharacterized. Lineage: Eukaryota; Viridiplantae; Streptophyta; Magnoliopsida; Caryophyllales; Amaranthaceae. The record is from RefSeq and is a predicted model, not a curated record. The transcript has 4 exons.